This 60-nucleotide transfer RNA is filed under the name Candidatus Poseidoniales archaeon. RNAcentral describes it as "Marine Group II euryarchaeote (marine metagenome) tRNA-Leu". It matches the Rfam family "tRNA", at positions 14 to 71 of the family's 71-position model. Rfam says of the family: Transfer RNA (tRNA) molecules are approximately 80 nucleotides in length. Their secondary structure includes four short double-helical elements and three loops (D, anti-codon, and T loops). The record is from RNAcentral. Lineage: Archaea; Methanobacteriati; Thermoplasmatota; Candidatus Poseidoniia; Candidatus Poseidoniales.
AGGGGUUAUGACGUCGCCUUCACAUGGCGAAGAUCGCCAGUUCAAAUCUGGCCGAGUCCA